GAAUCAGUGACAGGAGAAAAACAAUCGAACAAUGGGUUGCACAUGCGCCGUGCUGACGACAGGCUCCGGUGAGGAUGGCGGCUAUUAACCUGGGUUAUGUGAUCGAAGAAUCUGAGGCGUUGUCGCCGAUUGACAUACCAUAAAGGAGGAAACCGGAGUACCCGGAAGAAACUCGCACAGAUACGGGGAGAAUAUGCAAACUCCACGCAGUUGCCUGAGGCUGGAAUCAAACCUGGGUCCCUGGCACUAUGAGGCAGCAGUGCUAACCACUGAGCCACUGUGCAUCCCUGGAAACAAAAGUGAAAUGAGGCUUUUCAGAGGAUCUGAAAGGAUAUUAGAAGCUCCUGUUGGAAACACUACAUCGGACAAACAGGAAGGAGUCUAACAACGAGUACAUGAACACCAACUGGCUACAAAAAGACAUGACCAAUACUCACUCAUCUCAAUCCACAUGGACGAGGAGAACCAGCAUUUUGACUGGGACAACACCAAGAUCCUGAGACAAUCUAGGCAGAGACCAGCACGUGAAUUCCUAGAUGCCUGACACUCCACGAAGCAUGCUGUUAAUAGACACAUUGAACUUGACCCCAUAUACAUUCCAUUACGAAGGAAAACCGGAAGUGAGGCAGUCCAGCUCAACGGACCCGAGAGUUUAAAAACAAUGUUGGAAAACACACCAACGCUUCAUUCGGAGGCUGCACUGAGGACAUUACCUAGCAUUGUAAUGAAACGUCUGCGAAACAAGAAACCAGCUCUGUGAGCCAACCAACCUCAACAACCACAACCAAGCUAUAAAUCUACUCCAAAACCUUGUAUCAGAGAUAAAAGGACAUUUCUGAUGAAAGAUCUAGGCCCGAAACGUCAGCUUUCCUGCUCCUAAGAUGCUGCUUGGCCUGCUGUGUUUAUCCAGCUCUACACCUUGUUACUCCAAAAUCUUAAUGUGUACUUUAACCAUGUUUUGUACUUUGUUCUUGUUCUUGUUUCUGCAAACUUUGCCCAAAUGAAGUUUCCACUGUUGCCCCUGCCCAGCAAUUUGCUACUGAUAUACCAGCUUUAUCAUCUCAUUGCCAGGAACUGUUUUUUCCUACACAGGAGCUAAUUUCUCUUCUUCUGAUCUUCUGUAGUAAAGCAAAUUCUCCACCAUUUUAUUAGUUGUAAUUUAUUCAGCAUAUCCUGAAACAUAGUAAUUACCUUGCCUUCUGAUUAUUUCCACUAUUUGCUGUUUUUUUUGUAGCAGAGUUUCAACAUCAGAAGUUAUGAUCGAUUUGUAAGCAGCAGAACUGCAGAUCACUUCAAAAUUACUAAGAGCUUAAAUGUGAGAGGCCAGCCGGGAGUGCAGCAUGAUCGUUUAAAUAUAAGAAUUCAAUGGAGAAAAUUGCAAAAUAGGUGAGCUGACACGAGGGUAGAGUUGGAUGAUGUCACUAUGUGGAAAUAGAUGGUUUUUGAUGAUGAUAUGAACAUCUUGUUUAAAGUUUAGAUUACGCAUGAUGUUGUAAAUGGUAUGGUUCAGCAUCAGACAGUUGCAGGGAGAGAGGGAAGAUUAAGGUUCUUGCGAAGAUUUUUACCUCCAAAUAUGGAUGAGGUUGUUAGCUGGCUUCCCAGUUAUCGUACAGACACUUCAUCACCAUGCGAGGUAACACCAUCAGUGCAGCCUCCGAUGAAGCGAUGUUGUUCGACUCCGCUUGGUAAUUAUAUGAUCCAGUCUGUUAAGCUGGGUUGUGUCCUUUCCGGUUCUGAUCUGCGUGGGUUUGUAUAUGUGGUCUAAUUCCACAUGUUUGUUGAUUUGCAUUACAGCUUGAAAACCAGGAUGGGACAAUGUGACCAUUCUGGCUCAAGCCAACCACAGAGACACACAGAAAUUCCCUCAGACCUGGUUUUCAACCCCUAAGGUAAUCAUCAAAUACCAAGCAGAGUAGAACAACAUCACGUCAUCAGAGACCACACUGAUGUUACCUAGCAUGGUGACAAAACCAGCUAUAUCGAUGAGCAAGCCAAUAACCUCAGAGAAAUAAUGUGGGCUAGAGUGUGGAGUUUGUAACUGAAAAUAGUUUCUUUUAUCUUUUGGAGAAUAUUUCUAUUUAUCUUGUAUUAGAUGCCAGGAAAAUUUGGAGGUCACAGUGUUCACAUACAUCUCCUAUCCCAGUCCUUCUAAAUUGUAAAGUUUGGGAGAUUCUGUCACAGUUCUUGUUGAACUGUAAAUACAUAGCAUCUCUCUCCUUUGCCUCUCCCUCUCUCACUCCUGUCUUUUUGAUUCACCCUGCAGAGGCCAGAGUGUUGUGCAUGUUCAGACUGCGGAAGCAGAUUCCCUUCCCCGUGGACAUUAGUGGUCCAGUUUGGUUUAUUUUAUGACAUUCUGUCAGCUUUCCAGCCCAACAAAUUAGCAAGUUUAUUCAGCUGAAUUUCGCAACUUGCUUUUGUGUAUUUGUGGGUGUACCCUCACUCCCUUUUAUUUUUGUUCUGUUUUGAAACAGUUUCAGAGGGUGUUUAGAGGAGGAGGAAUUACAGUCAGGGAUCACUGAUCUAUCACCUCAGAAUCUGAUGGAGGUUUCUUAUUUGUCACAACCAGAAUGUAAAUAGAUUUUGAACAUGGAAAGAAAGAGCACAGUUCACAUUGAAGAGAGCCCCUAUACAUGUUUGGUGUGGGGAAGGAUUCAGCCAAUUAUCUGGCUGUUGGGAAACAAAUGCAGUCACAAUGGGGGAAUAAACCCCAUUUCUUAUCUCCUUGAAAGAAAGGUUUCUGUCAUUUAGGUGUUGUCAUCCAUGUACUUUAUUCAAAAAUGCAAUUGAUAAAAUGUCAUGCAACAAACUUGAGUGAGGAUAGACAUCGUAGAUUAAAAGUACAGCAGCAACUUGAGUACGAAAUUGACUGAGAGAUGGGAGAGAGAGGCUACUGGAUAAUCAAUGUUUUUCAGGCUGCAGGAAUGUUAAUAGUGGAGUUUUCCAAGGAUUCAUGCUCAGACUGCUACAUUUCCUGAUUCAUUCAAAUUACCUAGCUGUUAAUCAUAGUAUUAUUUCAAAAUUUGCAGAAUCUUAAGUGGGUCCAAAGCAGUGGCAGUUUCUCUUCUCUGAAGGACAUCGAUGAAAUAGUUGUUUGUUUUUAUGAAACCCUGCAGCUUUCAUGGUUACUUUUCCCACGUCCUGGCCCCACAAAAGACCAGAUUCAUUAAGGUCAAAUUCCCAACCUACAUUUGAGAUUUUGAGUGCUCUGUCUCUCACUCUCUUUAUAGAUUUCAAUCAACUUCACAGAGUGCUAGAAACAGAAGGUUUACAGGACGAAUUCAAAAACCAAUCAUUAAAUCGAGCUCUCUGAUGAAGGGUCUAGGCCCGAAACGUCAGCUUUUGUGCUCCUGAGAUGCUGCUUGGCCUGCUGUGUUCAUCCAGCCUCACAUUUUAUCAUCAUUAAAUCGAGCUCGCACAGAUAUGACUCAUUUAUUCACAACCUAAAUAUCAAUGGAUUUUGAACAUGGAAGGAAAAAGCAGGCAUAUCUUAAAGAAGGAAAUUGGAGUAGAGAGCAGGAGUACUUUGAGGAGGAAAUUCCAGAGCUCGUAUAAUAUGCAACUGAAAGAAUGACCAUUGAUAGUGUCACAAUUUAAAUCAGGAAUGCACAGAAUCCUGAAUUGAUUUUUUACAGACAUUUUCAGAAGAGUGUGCUUCUUAGGAGGUUGCAGAAAUGGGGAUUGUUGUAACGAUGGAGCAAAAUAAAGGUGUGUAUUUUAGAAUGUUGUGGCUGCAAACCUAAGCCCAUUGUCGCAUCGGGUGUGCAUGUCCAUAUUUAAAGACUGUGUAAUAUGCUGAAAUCAAUGGAAUUAUUUUGAGAUUUUCAGGAUAGUGAUUUUGUGGCCAUCUGUUCAGUAGUGUUUUGGUCUUUUUGCUGAAGUCAAAACUCUUGAGGAAAUCAAGUGAAACACUAUCAAAUUCAUACUUGGGAGAGACCUACCCAACUUGUGGAAUGUGCUGUAAAAUUUCAGUUUUAUUUAAUGGCCUAUUUAUGUGUUCAGAGAUGAGACCUUUUCAAUGCCCACACUGUAGGAAGUGUUACAAAAUUCCAAGGGGACUGAUGAACAGUGGCUCACUGCUGCCUCGCAGCACCAAGGUCCUGGUUUCGACACCACCCUCGGGCAACAAUCUGUGUGGAGUUUGCACGUUCUCCCUAUGUCUGCAUGGGUUUCUUCUGGGUGCUCUGGUUUCCUCUGAGUCCAAAGAUUUGCAGGCUAGGUGGAUUGCCCACGCUGAAUUGCCCAUAGCGCUCAGGGAUGAGUACAUUAGGUGGGUUACAGGAGAUGGGUCUGGGUGGGAUCUCCUGAGGGUCGGUGUUGGGCCAAAGGGCCUGUUUCCACACUGUAGGGGUUCUAUGAUCUCCUAUGAUGAACCAGCAACACGUUCACACUAAGGAGAGACCUUUGAAUGCUUAGAUUGUAGGUAAAGCUUUAAAACAUCCAGCAAUCUGAUCUCCCAUUGAUGUGUUCACACUGAUAAGAGGCCUUUCAAACACAGAUUGUGGGAAAUGUUUGAAGUUCCACAGGUUUGAGUAAUCAGCGUGUUCCUUCUGAUGACAAGCCUUUUAAAUAUUCAGACUGUGGGAGGUGCUCUAAAAGUUCCUGGGCACUGACUUCCCAUCAAUGAGUUUACGUGCUGUCACUGUGGGACCAGUUUCAGAAGAUCAUUUGACCCUAUCUAAAUACUGGUGAAUUCACACUACAGAGAGCCCUUCACUUUGGUCCUGUUGCCUUGUGGUACACCAGCAAGUUCACACUAAGGGGAGACUUUAAGUGGUCUCAUCACUGCACACCAGUGACUUCAGACUGGGCAGAGGCUGUUCAUCUGCAUUAGGUGUUAGAGAUUUACACAGGACCUUAUAAGUCUGAGACACAGAGUUCACAAAUUAUUUAGGGAGUUGGGUUUUUCUCUUAAUUACUUCCAGGACUGAACUCUGUCCAUUGGUUUUCUUUGUUGAUAUCCUGAAUAAAAGUCAAAUAAAUCAACUUUGUGUUAAACCCA
Molecule: long non-coding RNA, 4999 nt
Organism: Stegostoma tigrinum
Lineage: Eukaryota; Metazoa; Chordata; Chondrichthyes; Orectolobiformes; Stegostomatidae
Exons: 3
Source: RefSeq, a predicted model, not a curated record